CACGCAGUGAUGCAGCCAACAAUUAUAGAUCAGGACUUCAGGUUCAGGAGUUCAGGACAAAGUUGUAGGGAGCCAACAAAAUAUGCCAGGUUAGCAACAGUUGCAACCAACAAUUACAGGCUUACAGUUACAGCCAACAAAAUAUAAUGACCAUGUGCCUCUCAUGUCCUCUCUCGGGUCCUAUCUCUCCCUCUCCUCCAUCUCCUCCAUGUGAGUAUGUGACCAUGUGCCUCUACAAGUCAUUAGAAAAUCAGCAACACAUAAAUCAGAACACUUAUAAAUCAGGGACAUCAUAUAACUCAUAUAAAUCAGGGACAACAUAUAAAUCAGCAACACAUUCAUGUAAGUAUAUAACUCAUGUGAGUAUGUGACCAUGUGCCUCUACAAGUCAUUAGAAAAUCAGCAACACAUAAAUCAGAACCACUUAUAAAUCAGGGACAGCAUAUAACUCAUAUAAAUCAGGGACAACAUAUAAAUCAGCAACACAUUCAUAUAAGUAUAUAAC
This 505-nucleotide long non-coding RNA is filed under the name Zea mays. RNAcentral describes it as "long non-coding RNA NONZMAT000269". The record is from RNAcentral. Lineage: Eukaryota; Viridiplantae; Streptophyta; Magnoliopsida; Poales; Poaceae.